RNAcentral lists this ribosomal RNA (485 nucleotides) under uncultured bacterium. RNAcentral describes it as "bacterial SSU rRNA". It matches the Rfam family "Bacterial small subunit ribosomal RNA", at positions 33 to 507 of the family's 1533-position model. The record is from RNAcentral.
GACACGCUGGCGGCGUGGAUUAGGCAUGCAAGUCGAACGGUAUCAUCCUUUCGGGGGUGAGAGAGUGGCGAACUGGUGAGUAACACGUAGGUUAUCUACCCUCAAGACGGGGACAACCCAGGGGAAACUUGGGCUAAUACCGGAUGUGAGCAACUUUUAGUGUUUGAAAGGUGGCGUAAGCUGUCGCUUGGGGAUGAGCCUGCGUCUUAUUAGUUAGUUGGUGAGGUAACGGCUCACCUAGGCAAUGAUAGGUAGGCGGCCUUAACGGGUGGUCGCCCACACUGGGAUUGAGAUACGGCCCAGACUCCUACGGGAGGCAGCAGUCGAGAAUAGUCUACAAUGGUCGGAAGACUGAUAGUGCGACGCCGCGUGAACGAUGAAUCCCUUCGGGGUGUAAAGUUCUUUUAUAUGUGAGCAGUGCUUCUUAUAUUAACAGUAUGGGGAGAGAGAUAUUAGCAUAUGAAUAAGCAACGGCUAACUCCGUG